RNAcentral lists this ribosomal RNA (1011 nucleotides) under Neostagonosporella bambusicola. RNAcentral describes it as "SSU rRNA". It matches the Rfam family "Eukaryotic small subunit ribosomal RNA", at positions 76 to 1097 of the family's 1831-position model. The record is from RNAcentral. Lineage: Eukaryota; Fungi; Ascomycota; Dothideomycetes; Pleosporales; Phaeosphaeriaceae.
AUACCGUGAAACUGCGAAUGGCUCAUUAAAUCAGUUAUCGUUUAUUUGAUAGUACCUUACUACUUGGAUAACCGUGGUAAUUCUAGAGCUAAUACAUGCUGAAAACCCCAACUUCGGGAGGGGUGUAUUUAUUAGAUAAAAAACCAACGCCCUUCGGGGCUUCUUGGUGAUUCAUGAUAACUUUACGGAUCGCAUGGCCUUGCGCCGGCGACGGUUCAUUCAAAUUUCUGCCCUAUCAACUUUCGAUGGUAAGGUAUUGGCUUACCAUGGUUUCAACGGGUAACGGGGAAUUAGGGUUCGAUUCCGGAGAGGGAGCCUGAGAAACGGCUACCACAUCCAAGGAAGGCAGCAGGCGCGCAAAUUACCCAAUCCCGACACGGGGAGGUAGUGACAAUAAAUACUGAUACAGGGCUCUUUUGGGUCUUGUAAUUGGAAUGAGUACAAUUUAAACCUCUUAACGAGGAACAAUUGGAGGGCAAGUCUGGUGCCAGCAGCCGCGGUAAUUCCAGCUCCAAUAGCGUAUAUUAAAGUUGUUGCAGUUAAAAAGCUCGUAGUUGAACCUUGGGUCUGGCUGGCAGGUCCGCCUCACCGCGUGUACUUGUCCGGCCGGGCCUUCCUUCUGGAGAACCUCAUGCCCUUCACUGGGCGUGUUGGGGACCAGGACUUUUACUUUGAAAAAAUUAGAGUGUUCAAAGCAGGCCUUUGCUCGAAUACGUUAGCAUGGAAUAAUAGAAUAGGACGUGCGGUCCUAUUUUGUUGGUUUCUAGGACCGCCGUAAUGAUUAAUAGGGACAGUCGGGGGCAUCAGUAUUCAAUUGUCAGAGGUGAAAUUCUUGGAUUUAUUGAAGACUAACUACUGCGAAAGCAUUUGCCAAGGAUGUUUUCAUUAAUCAGUGAACGAAAGUUAGGGGAUCGAAGACGAUCAGAUACCGUCGUAGUCUUAACCGUAAACUAUGCCGACUAGGGAUCGGGCGAUGUUCUUUUUCUGACUCGCUCGGCACCUUACGAGAAA